CCCUGAAGCAUUAUAAUGUCAAUAUCAUGUUCACUUUGUAACAUUAACGUUCCUAUUUAUUAAGUUUGCAACCUACCACUUUUCCUUGUUCCUUGUGUUGAAGGGAAUGUUUAACUUUGACCAGAAUUGAUCAAAACAUCUUUUUGCCGUAUACUUGAAGUACAGUUGGAAGAAUGAGAAUGCCGCCACAGUUAUUCAGCUUCAUUAUGAUAUUUCUUCACUUGCAGGCAUGAUAUUAGCUAAUGGAGGAGAAUGGGGAAAAAAAAAAAAACUGAGACAUUCCAUUCUAUUUGCCAGUUCUGCCAUGUUUCAUUUAGCUUCUGUAAUGGAUAUCUUGGUCUAACGAACCUUAUAAGUUGCACAAGUAUUUAUGGUUCUAAGCAUUUGUCUGCCACUUUUGUAUACGAAAUGCGUCGUUGGAGUAAUCUUGUAGUUCCUACGGAAUGCAGACGAUGGGGCGGUCCAGAUCAUAUGUGGCCUUGUAUUGCAUUGGUCCACGCGGAAAAGACUAUUUCUUGAAGUGUCAUGGACGAAGAUGGAAUGGGGAAUAUAUCAUAAGUCUAAAGAAGGUGCACGGAUUUUUCUAAGUAGUGGAAAAACGUUGUCACAUAAAGUUAGAAUCCAAUAUCAAUAUAACAGUUGGCAGAAUCUCUAUUAUUAAGGAGUUUUCUUUUUCUUUCUCCCUCUAAUGUAAAAGUUUUUCUUUUUAUAUAUAUAUAUAUAAUAUAAUGAAAUCGAUUAUCAAA
Non-coding RNA from Benincasa hispida (wax gourd), 746 nucleotides. The record is from RefSeq and is a predicted model, not a curated record. NCBI's taxonomy places the organism in Eukaryota, Viridiplantae, Streptophyta, Magnoliopsida, Cucurbitales, Cucurbitaceae.